Molecule: long non-coding RNA, 2022 nt
Organism: Parus major (Great Tit)
Lineage: Eukaryota; Metazoa; Chordata; Aves; Passeriformes; Paridae
Source: Ensembl
CCUGAGGAGGAGAGAGCGUGUUCCCGAGCGGAGAGAGCCUGGCAGGGCGCGCUGCGCUGGGGCCGCGCUGCUCCGGCAGCCGGACCGAGGGGCUGGCAGCCGGACCGAGGCGGUGUCGGCCGAACCGAGGGGCUGGCAGCCGGACCGAGAGGCUGGCAGCCGGACCGAGGGGCUGGCAGCCGGACCGAGGCGGUGCCGGCCGGACCGAGGGGCUGGCAGCCGGACCGAGGCGGUGCCGGCCGGACCGAGGCGCUGGCAGCCAGACCGAGGGGCUGGCAGCCGGACCGAGGCGGUGUCGGCCGAACCGAGGGGCUGGCAGCACGNCGGACCGAGGCGGUGUCGGCCGGACCGAGGCGGUGCCGGCCGAACCGAGGGGCUGGCAGCCGGACCGAGGGGCUGGCAGCCGGACCGAGGCGGUGCCGGCCGAACCGAGGCGCUGGCAGACGGACCGAGGCGCUGGCAGCCGGACCGAGGCGCUGGCAGCACGGCAUCUCCCCCAGCCCGGAGAGCUUUGGGACAGCUGCCUUCCUGCGGGACAGGCGCUCACUGCGCUGGAAUUCGCCGGGACAGACGGCAGAGGGCACGAGUGAAUGCCUUAAGCAUCGGGGCUUGCUUUCGAAGGGAACCUGUAUUUCCCUGGUGCACAGUAAGAGGUACACGGUGCUGCCCCAGCGGCUUCCAGGAGGAUUUCAUCACACUGACACAGGACAGGGGGGUGCUGUUUGUGCUGCCAAGUGUGAGGGACAUCUUCAUCCCCCACUCUCUGUCCUGAGUGUGUCAGAAAUUCAAAGCCUUGGUAUAAUCUGGCUGCAACCCUGAAGAGCCAGCAUCUCAGGCGUGGAGAGGAGUAUCCAGCCAUGUUUGAUGCCCCCCUGAAAGUCAGUGGCUGCAAAUUCCCCCUGCCUUGCACCCAAGGUGUUGGAAGUCACGCUCCUGGGCUCCCACAUCUCAAAGGACAACAUGUGGACCCUGUUUAUGUGCUUGUCUUGACUUAAGCAGGUAUUUGCUCUGGGGGAUUACUCUGGCAAGUCCUGUCUGUCCUCCUCUAAACCUGGACAGCACCACUCUUAGCUCUCAGGUGAGAGAGCCAAUUUGUAACUUUAUGAUUUCCUUCCUCUACAAGGUCAUGUUCAAACUCUUUUGUUGUGAGGGACAUUUAUUUUUCCCCAAGUUCCUCCUGUACUCAAAGAAGAAAACACUUGUGUUUUCUGUGAUCAUAGCCAAAUGUCACAAUUGCAUCUGCUGCCUUUUUCUGCAAGAUCUUGCCAGUACUCCUGCAUUUAACUUCAGGUAAUGGCCUCAUGCAGUAUUUAUAGAUGAUAAUGUCACAUUUUUUAAAAUAAUGUAGUUUAAAAUGUCUGGAAAUUUAAUAGUUACACUUCCCACCAUGGAAAGCACAUUUGCAGAAAAACUAAUUGUUACCAAUAGCUCUAAUUGCCAGCCUUGAUCAUUAAACUUUGCCUUGGGUCAGCCUUUCACUCUGCCUGAUUAUUAUGUACAGAUUAAGAGGUUGUUGCUGGCAUUACCUUUGGACUCAUGAGGCAUCACUGUUCCCAAAUACUGAGCGCUUUAUCUGAGUGAGCUUCAGCAGCAGAGCACUUUUCUUAAAACUUUCAUUAGUGACCAACUUUCAGAGGGGCUGAGGGCUGUAAUCAGAUUAUUGCUUCCCGCUGGAUGCAGAGGAUACAGGCUUCUGCUUGUCUCACACUGCGGCCAGGCCCCUCCCUGCUCCCUUCAACAGCUGAGGAAUUGUUGGAUUCUGGUCUGGGGGCCGUGUCCUUUUGUGCUGGGAGGGCUCGCAUUCCCUCGUGCUCUCCCUACUGGAAUGCUCGGUGGAACAUUUUAAGCUUUGGAAGUGUUCUUUUCUGAGCUCAGCACGCAUUUUAAUUCUGCGCUGCCGGCCAGGAUUGAUGUAUGUGAGAGGAGAGAGCUUUAAAACGCCUUUGGAUGUGGUUUCCUAAAAGCUUAUUUAGUGUGUGAAUUGUUAAAAAAAUAAAGAAAGAAAAGGAAAUGUGUGUAUCA